AUUGAACGCUGGCGGCAUGCUUUACACAUGCAAGUCGAACGGCAGCGCGGGCUUCGGCCUGGAGGCGAGUGGCGAACGGGUGAGUAAUACAUCGGAACGUGCCCCGUAGUGGGGGAUAGCUCGUCGAAAGCCGGAUUAAUACCGCAUACGACCUGAGGGUGAAAGCGGGGGAUCUUCGGACCUCGCGCUAUUGGAGCGGCCGAUGGCCGAUUAGCUAGUUGGUGGGGUAAAGGCCUACCAAGGCGACGAUCUGUAGCUGGUCUGAGAGGACGACCAGCCACACUGGGACUGAGACACGGCCCAGACUCCUACGGGAGGCAGCAGUGGGGAAUUUUGGACAAUGGGCGAAAGCCUGAUCCAGCAAUGCCGCGUGUGUGAUGAAGGCCUUCGGGUUGUAAAGCACUUUUGGCGGGAACGAAAAGGACUGUGCCAAUACCACGGUUCGAUGACGGUACCCGCAGAAUAAGCACCGGCUAACUACGUG
Molecule: ribosomal RNA, 484 nt
Filed under: uncultured bacterium
Lineage: Bacteria
Description: partial 16S ribosomal RNA
Rfam family: Bacterial small subunit ribosomal RNA
Source: RNAcentral